CAGAGUCUAGUGAGGGGCGGGGGUCGGGGCGCUGCGGGGGCGCGCACUUCUCGGGAGUCUCCGAGCUGCGAUCGCGGACUACGAUUUUGAUCCGGGUGAGGGCUCUGCGAAUGGGCAAGCAAAACCCUCUGAGUCCGGGCCUCGUCGCUCGGUGCUGUGUGUUAAGGGCCUGCGCUGUGCUAGGACCGGGCGUGCCGCCGUGGGCAAAAGUGACGCUUUCCUGAAGCACAAAUUUCUGGGGGGGCGACCAAGCGGCAGCAGAUGCGUCCUGCGCCGGUAGCCACGCGGCCGGUGGAAGAGCAGAGACCAGCACGGGCCAUGCGGCGGGGCUGGGCUUGCUGCACCGCUCUGCGCUGCGGGGUGAUGGGGAGAGGCGCCUUCAUUGGGGGUGAAGGGCGGGGAGCUGCCCGGAGGAGGUCCUAGACCUGGGCAACAAAGCGAGAUUCCAUCUCAAAAAAAAAGUUUCAGGCCAGCCACAGUGGCUUACACCUGUAAUCACAGCACUUUGAGAGGCCGAGGCAGAUGGAUUGCUGAGGUCAGGAGUUCCAGACCAGCCUGGUCACCAUGGCAAAACCUCGUCUCUACUAAAAAUACGAAAAUUAGCUGGGCAUGGUGGUGAGCACCUGUAAUCCCAGCUGCACGGGAGGCUAAGGCAGAAGAAUCACUUGAAUUCAGGUGGAGGGUGCAGUGAGCCGAGAUUACACUACUGCAUUCCAGCCUGGGCAACAGUAAGACUUCCUCUCAAAAAAAAAAAAAAAAAAAAGGUUUUGAAGGGAGCAGAUCCACUUUAAAAGCACACACUAGUUCUUGAGUGAUGACGAAAUUGCACUGUGCCUUAUGCAGAGCCGACGCCUGGCAGUUUGCACAAGCAGGAGGUGGAGCUGCAGACUCCCUCUCCCUCCCAGCCUUGCCUCUGUAAGUGGGAAAGCCCUUGACAUUCACAAAAGACGGGCAGGGAACUGCUACACAAGAGCAGCUACACAAGAGGGUCCUUUGGUCCACACAAGAAACAAGCCAUAGUGAUGACAUAUUUUGAAGCUGGUAGAUGUUUUGUUUCCCUAGCUGGCUAUUGUUUUUUGUAUGGCUUGUCUUUCUCUUUUGAGUAUGUGUGAGAACAGGGUGGGUUAACAUUAGGAAAGAGCACGGAAGAGGAAGGAAGGAGGGAGGGAGGGAGGGGAGAAAGAAUAGGGAUGAGAAGCUCAGCUUGUAGAAUGGGCAGGUGAUGUUUGCAGUUAUUAAUAAUUUGAGAAGUAGAGAAGCCAAGCGGAAAUCCAGACUGGAAAAGAAGUGCUUACCAUUUGAAAAAAAAAAAAAAAAAAA
RNAcentral lists this long non-coding RNA (1320 nucleotides) under Macaca fascicularis (crab-eating macaque). RNAcentral's name for it is "lncRNA (ENSMFAG00000065191.1)". The record is from RNAcentral. Lineage: Eukaryota; Metazoa; Chordata; Mammalia; Primates; Cercopithecidae.